This 413-nucleotide ribosomal RNA is filed under the name uncultured prokaryote. RNAcentral's name for it is "bacterial SSU rRNA". It matches the Rfam family "Bacterial small subunit ribosomal RNA", at positions 505 to 918 of the family's 1533-position model. The record is from RNAcentral.
GUGUCAGCCGCCGCGGUAAUACGUAUGGGGCAAGCGUUGUUCGGAGUUAUUGGGCGUAAAGGGCGUGUAGGCGGCUCAUCAAGUCUGGUGUGAAAUUGCAGGGCCCAACCCUGCAGGUGCGCUGGAAACUGGUGGGCUAGAGUUCUUGAGGGGAAGCUGGAAUUCCAGGUGUAGGGGUGAAAUCUGUAGAUAUCUGGAAGAACACCGGUGGCGAAGGCGAGCUUCUAUCAGAGGACUGACGCUGAGGCGCGAAAGCGUGGGGAGCAAACAGGAUUAGAUACCCUGGUAGUCCACGCUGUAAACGAUGUGCACUAGGCGUGGGGCACGUACGUGCUCUGUGCCGUAGCUAACGCGAUAAGUGCACCGCCUGGGGAGUAUGCUCGCAAGGGUGAAACUCAAAUGAAUUGACGGGG